ACGAACGCUGGCGGCAUGCCUAACACAUGCAAGUCGAACGAGACCUUCGGGUCUAGUGGCGCACGGGUGCGUAACGCGUGGGAACCUGCCCUUAGGUUCGGAAUAACUCCCCGAAAGGGGUGCUAAUACCGGAUAAUGUCUUCGGACCAAAGAUUUAUCGCCUUUGGAUGGGCCCGCGUUGGAUUAGCUAGUUGGUAGGGUAAAAGCCUACCAAGGCGACGAUCCAUAGCUGGUCUGAGAGGAUGAUCAGCCACACUGGGACUGAGACACGGCCCAGACUCCUCGGGGGGGGAGGAGGGGGGAAAUUUGGACAAUGGGCGAAAGCCUGACCCAGCAAUGCCGGGGGAGUGAUGAAGGCCUUAGGGUUGUAAAGCUCUUUUACCCGGGAUGAUAAUGACAGUACCGGGAAAAUAAGCCCCGGCUAACCCCGG
This 431-nucleotide ribosomal RNA is filed under the name uncultured bacterium. RNAcentral's name for it is "partial 16S ribosomal RNA". It matches the Rfam family "Bacterial small subunit ribosomal RNA", at positions 29 to 506 of the family's 1533-position model. The record is from RNAcentral.